This 2687-nucleotide long non-coding RNA is filed under the name Homo sapiens (human). RNAcentral describes it as "HSALNT0197296". Lineage: Eukaryota; Metazoa; Chordata; Mammalia; Primates; Hominidae. The record is from RNAcentral.
AAAAAAAAAAAGAAACUUACAGGAGGGGAUGCUCCAGCAGAGGAGAAGGCCAUGUGACCCUGAAGGCAGAGACUGCAGUGAUGGGGCCACAAGUCAGGAAACACCAACAGGCUGGGCCCCAUGACUCACGCCUGUAACCACAGCACUUUGUGAGGACAGAGCAGGAGGACUGCUUGAGGCCAGGAGUUUGAGACCAGCCUGGGCUACACAGGCAGACCCUGUCUCUAAUUAAAUUAAAAAAAAAAAAAGAUGAAAAAAGAAAAAAGAAACACCAGCCACCAGAAGCCAAAAGAUGCAACUAACAGGUUCCCCACUAGAGGCUCCAGAGGAAGGGCCCCUCUACUGACACCGUGAUCCCAGACGUCUGUCCUCCAGAGCCAGAGGAAGGGCCACUCUGCUGACACCGUGAUCCCAGAUGUCUGUCUUCCAGAGCCGGAGGAAGGGCCACUCUGUGACACCGCGAGCCCAGACGUCUGUCCUCCAGAGCCGGAGGAAGGGCCACUCUGCUGACACCGCGAGCCCAGACUUCUGUCCUCCAGAGCCGGAGGAAGGGCCACUCUGUGACACCGCGAGCCCAGACUUCUGUCCUCCAGAGCUGGAGGAAGGGCCACUCUGCUGACACCGCGAGCCCGGACGUCUGUCCUCCAGAGCCGGAGGAAGGGCCACUCUGUGACACCGCGAGCCCGGACGUCUGUCCUCCAGAGCCGGAGGAAGGGCCACUCUGCUGACACCGCGAGCCCGGACGUCUGUCCUCCAGAGCCGGAGGAAGGGCCACUCUGUGACACCGCGAGCCCGGACGUCUGUCCUCCAGAGCCGGAGGAAGGGCCACUCUGCUGACACCGCGAUCCCGGACGUCUGUCCUCCAGAGCCGGAGGAAGGGCCACUCUGUGACACCGCGAGCCCGGACGUCUGUCCUCCAGAGCCGGAGGAAGGGCCACUCUGCUGACACCGCGAUCCCGGACGUCUGUCCUCCAGAGCCGGAGGAAGGGCCACUCUGUGACACCGCGAGCCCGGACGUCUGUCCUCCAGAGCCGGAGGAAGGGCCACUCUGUGACACCGCGAGCCCGGACGUCUGUCCUCCAGAGCCGGAGGAAGGGCCACUCUGCUGACACUGCGAUCCCAGACGUCUGUGCUCCAGAGCCGGAGGAAGGGCCACUCUGUGACACCGCGAGCCCAGACGUCUGUCCUCCAGAGCCGGAGGAAGGGCCACUCUGCUGACACCGUGAGCCCGGACGUCUGUCUUCCAGAGCCGGAGGAAGGGCCACUCUGUGACACCGCGAGCCCGGAAGUCUGUCCUCCAGAGCCGGAGGAAGGGCCACUCUGUGACACCGUGAGCCCGGACAUCUGUCCUCCAGAGGCGGAGGAAGGGCCACUCUGCUGACACCGGGAGCCCGGACGUCUGUCCUCCAGAGCCGGAGGAAGGGCCACUCUGUGACACAGCGAGCCCGGACGUCUGUCCUCCAGAGCCGGAGGAAGGGCCACUCUGCUGACACCGCGAUCCCGGACGUCUGUCCUCCAGAGCCGGAGGAAGGGCCCCUCUGCUGACACCGUGAGCCCGGACGUCUGUCCUCCAGAGCCGGAGGAAGGGCCCCUCUGUGACACCGCGAGCCCGGACGUCUGUCCUCCAGAGCCGGAGGAAGGGCCACUCUGCUGACACCGGGAUCCCGGACGUCUGUCCUCCAGAGGCGGAGGAAGGGCCACUCUGUGACACCGCGAUCCCGGACGUCUGUCCUCCAGAGGCAGAGGAAGGGCCACUCUGUGACACCACGAGCCCGGACGUGUGUCCUCCAGAGCCGGAGGAAGGGCCACUCUGCUGACACCGCGAGCCCGGACGUCUGUCCUCCAGAGCCGGAGGAAGGGCCCCUCUGCUGACACCGCGAGCCCGGACGUCUGUCCUCCAGAGCCGGAGGAAGGGCCCCUCUGUGACACCGCGAGCCCGGACGUCUGUCCUCCAGAGCCGGAGGAAGGGCCCCUCUGUGACACCGCGAGCCCGGACGUCUGUCCUCCAGAGCCGGAGGAAGGGCCACUCUGCUGACACCGCGAGCCCGGACGUCUGUCCUCCAGAGCCGGAGGAAGGGCCACUCUGCUGACACCGCGAGCCCGGACGUCUGUCCUCCAGAGGCGGAGGAAGGGCCACUCUGCUGACACCGCGAGCCCGGACGUCUGUCCUCCAGAGGCGGAGGAAGGGCCACUCUGCUGACACCGCGAGCUCGGACGUCUGUCCUCCAGAGGCGGAGGAAGGGCCACUCUGCUGACACCGCGAGCUCGGACGUCUGUCCUCCAGAGCCGGAGGAAGGGCCCCUCUGUGACACCGCGAGCCCGGACGUCUGUCCUCCAGAGCCGGAGGAAGGGACCCUCUGCUGACACCGCGAGCCCGGACGUCUGUCCUCCAGAGCCGGAGGAAGGGCCACUCUGUGACACCGCGAGCCCGGACGUCUGUCCUCCAGAGCCGGAGGAAGGGCCCCUCUGUGACACCGCGAGCCCGGACGUCUGUCCUCCAGAGCCGGAGGAAGGGCCCCUCUGUGACACCGCGAGCCCGGACGUCUGUCCUCCAGAGCCGGAGGAAGGGCCACUCUGUGACACCGUGAGCCGGACGUCUGUCCUCCGGAGCCGGAGGAAGGGCCACUUGUGACACCGUGAGCCCGGACGUCUGUCCUCCAGAGCCGGAGGAAGGGCCACUCUGUGAC